This is a long non-coding RNA of Micropterus salmoides (largemouth bass), 1108 nucleotides long. RefSeq lists it as uncharacterized. The transcript has 3 exons. NCBI's taxonomy places the organism in Eukaryota, Metazoa, Chordata, Actinopteri, Centrarchiformes, Centrarchidae. The record is from RefSeq and is a predicted model, not a curated record.
UGUAGGUCUGGCUGUGCAAACUGCUGCAGGUGCGGCUGUGUUGCUGUGUGGACUGCUUGUUUCUGCAGACUCCUCUCUGUCUGUGCUCAGACUCUGCUGCCAUCUAGUGGUCUUCUGUCCAUACGGCGUCUCUACUGGUCUGAUGCUGUCCAUCUGCUGCAGCAGGAAGACAGGAAACAAACCAGCCGUCUCCAUGGAGAUGACCCAGCGGGUUGGAGGAAGUGACGAAUUUGAUGGCGAUUACAAUGACAUCACUGCUGAUGUCACCACUGAGCACGCCUUCUGAGCUGUGAACAGAGUGACAGCAGCUGUCUUUAAAAUGGACUCUGAUCAAUAACAUGAUGGAUCUGAAGAUGAGAGUUUCUAUCAUCUGCUCUUAUGGAGAUGCUGCUGGAGAGCAUUGUCUUACACGUUGCUCCAGAAUCUUCCACAGGUGUGAAACCGGGUUGAGAUCUGGUGACUGUAAAGGCCGCAGCAUUUUAUUCACAUCAUUUUCAUCCUCACCAAAGCGUUCAGUGACCCUGCUGCACGAAGCAUCUGCAUCUGAUGUUCCUCCUCUCUUUGAUUCAGCUUCUUCCUUUCAUUUGUCCCCGUCUGUUUGUGGUAGAAGCCCUGCUUUUUGGUAGAUUUGCUAAAACCCCCUCAGCUCCAUUGUAGAAAAGGAGGAGGAGUUCUGAGGGAAGUCAGAUCUUUGAAGACCUUUUGGACCUUCUAGGUCUUUCAGAGCUCUUUUCCUUUUUGCUCAGACCUUUUGUCAGCUUUUACAUUUCUGCAGCCUUUUCAGACUCAGGAAUUCUGUUUGGUUUCUUUCCUCUUUUUAUUCUCUUCUAUCUCAAAGUGUUUCUGGACGUAGGCUUUGUUUGUUUUUAAGCUUUGCUAAAUAAAACCAGGUAGAUCAUUUUGAUCUGUUGAAAGGUUGAUGAUUCUCUGGACCUGAUCCUUUCAUCCCCUCAUCCAAGGCUUCCUUCACAACAUUUCAGUAAGGCCCCUUGUUUUCUAACAAGUCUCUAAAAUGUCAGGAAUGCUAAUCUCUGUUCCUCAAGAGAGGGAGCAGCUGUAGAGGUGUUAGGACAGGAACCUGAGGCAGAGGAGAAGCCUAGUGCGAGGG